RNAcentral lists this long non-coding RNA (1145 nucleotides) under Gallus gallus (chicken). Its description in RNAcentral is "lncRNA (ENSGALG00010008908.1)". Lineage: Eukaryota; Metazoa; Chordata; Aves; Galliformes; Phasianidae. The record is from RNAcentral.
CAAAACUAAGCCAAACCACUGCACUAAAAAUUACAUUGCCUUAAAUCAAAUGCCUUUUUUUUUUUUCUUUUUCUUUUUUUUCUAAUAACUGCAGUAAGAAGGUUUGUUUAGGGAGGGCUGUCUCUAGCCACAGGAAAAGCAAGCAGUUCCCAUAGGGUACCAUACAGCUGGGAGGAGCAGUGUAACAACUGUUCCAGCACCUACUUCACCUCAUCUCUGCAAGGACAGCUGUGUUGACAACUCCUCCUACCCUACUGAGUUUGUUUUUUUUUUUUUUUUUUUUUUUAAAAAAAAAGGAGCUGGAAUAUAUAUGCAGCAGCCACCUGGAGAAGGAAGAAAGGGCGGCUCAUAUCAGUGCUUCCCCUAUCCUCUUCCCAUGGCAGCAUGGCUUCCCUGUCCUGGCUUUCAUCCUCAGAACAGGAAAUCUCAACUUUGCCCACACUUCUUGAGAUGGUUUAAGACAGCUUUAUAUAUGAACACCUGAAAACAAGACAGCUUGAGAUUCCAGGAACCUUUCUCAAGCCCACAACAGGGAAGAUAUCUGCCUUGUUCUUUCUUUCUUUCAUCUACAACUACUGCAGACGUUUUGCUCCAGGAUUAUAAGAUUGUGUCUCGAGGAAUGUGAGAGCCUCUGGGAAAGUACUACGUUCCUUAUCUGUCAUUUUGGGAACUGACAUAAACUGCCAUUGAGUUCAUCUGUAUUUCCUAGAAUACGCUCAGGACUUCACCAGAUCAGACCUAUGUAAAAACAAACACAUACAAAAUACUGGAUGUACCCAAAUUUCCUGACUCACUUUAUCAAAUUCACAGCUGUAUAGUUCCAGCUUUUUGCAGUAAACAAUCUGAUGUACAAGAAACCACCAAACACAGCAGUCCUUGAAGACCAAGCUACUUCUCUCCCACACAGAAAUCAGGACAGUUCCUCUCUGGGAAGCUGCCUAUACUUCAGAAAAUUAUGUGUUUGAGCUGUUGAGACUUCUGGAAGGUGGGAGUGGUAUGUCAACCACAUAAGAAAGAGAAAGCCACACGAGAAUUCUUUCUGCUUUGAAUAAUGAGUCAUGGAAUAGAGUUAUGACUCUGUUGCUCUGCAUGUGAGCUGUGUUUGAAGCAUGUUGACGCUCUCCGCCUUGAUGCAGCUGGCACCC